RNAcentral lists this ribosomal RNA (253 nucleotides) under uncultured bacterium. Its description in RNAcentral is "partial 16S ribosomal RNA". It matches the Rfam family "Bacterial small subunit ribosomal RNA", at positions 524 to 776 of the family's 1533-position model. The record is from RNAcentral.
UACGGAGGUGGCAAGCGUUGCUCGGAAUCACUGGGCGUAAAGGGCGCGUAGGCGGAGAGGUAAGUCGGGUGUGAAAUCCCUCGGCCCAACCGAGGAACUGCGCCCGAGACUGCUUCUCUUGAGUCCCGGAGAGGAAGGUGGAAUUCCCGGUGUAGCGGUGAAAUGUGUAGAGAUCGGGAGGAACACCGGUGGCGAAGGCGGCCUUCUGGACGGUGACUGACGCUGAGGCGCGAAAGCGUGGGGAGCAAACGGG